GUACACGCUGUGACUAGCAUAUCAAUAAGCGGAGGAAAAGAAAGCUAACAAGGAUUCCCCUAGUAACGGCGAGUGAAGCGGGAAGAGCUCAAAUUUGAAAUCUUAAAGGGGUUUCCCUUUACGAAUUGUAGUUUAAAGAAGUGUUUUCUGUUGAGGUUUUGGUAAAAGUUCUUUGGAAUAGGACAUCAUAGAGGGUGAGAAUCCCGUAUUUGACCUUUACUUUCAACUUUGUGAUACACUUUCAAAGAGUCGGAUUGUUUGGGAAUGCAGUCCAAAAUGGGUGGUAAAUUUCAUCUAAAGCUAAAUAUUGGCGAGAGACCGAUAGCGAACAAGUACCGUGAGGGAAAGAUGAAAAGAACUUUGAAAAGAGAGUUAAACAGUACGUGAAAUUGUCAAAAGGGAAGCGUUUGACACCAGUGUUGUUUUUCUGAAAAUCAAUUAAAGAACUGUUUAUGCUAAGCUUGUUUAGACUUUAUCAGCUAACUGUUUAGUUUUGAGCUUUUCUUUAAUGCACUUUUCAGUUAACAAGUCAACAUCAAUUUCUUUUGCUGUAAAAAAAGCUUGAGGAAGGUGGCUUGAGAUUCGUCUUAAGUGUUUAUAGCCUCUUGCCUAUGCAGUCGGAGAGAUUGAGGUCUGCAGCGUAGAUCCUUCGGGGCUAAAUGCAUUUGUGCUAAGUUAUAGCAUUUUAUAGACAACUUGUUGACUAUGAUUUGUCUUGUAGCUUACUCGCUUAUGUUAUUUUACCUACGCUUAGGAUGUUGACGCGCGUGUGUGCGUG
RNAcentral lists this ribosomal RNA (778 nucleotides) under uncultured Neocallimastigales. RNAcentral's name for it is "partial large subunit ribosomal RNA". It matches the Rfam family "Eukaryotic large subunit ribosomal RNA", at positions 22 to 639 of the family's 3401-position model. The record is from RNAcentral. Lineage: Eukaryota; Fungi; Neocallimastigomycota; Neocallimastigomycetes; Neocallimastigales.